AGAACGAACGCUGGCGGCAUGCCUAAUACAUGCAGGUCGAACGAAGGCUUCGGCCUUAGUGGCGCACGGGUGCGUAACGCGUGGGAAUCUGCCCCUUGGUUCGGAAUAACAGUUGGAAACGACUGCUAAUACCGGAUGAUGACGAAAGUCCAAAGAUUUAUCGCCAAGGGAUGAGCCCGCGUAGGAUUAGCUAGUUGGUGAGGUAAAGGCUCACCAAGGCGACGAUCCUUAGCUGGUCUGAGAGGAUGAUCAGCCACACUGGGCUGAGACACGGCCCAGACUCCUACGGGAGGCAGCAGUAGGGAAUAGUUGGACAAGUGGGCGAAAAGCCUGAUCCAGCAAUGCCGCGUGAGUGAUGAA
Molecule: ribosomal RNA, 360 nt
Filed under: uncultured soil bacterium
Lineage: Bacteria
Description: bacterial SSU rRNA
Rfam family: Bacterial small subunit ribosomal RNA
Source: RNAcentral